Long non-coding RNA from Pantherophis guttatus, 549 nucleotides. RefSeq lists it as uncharacterized. The record is from RefSeq and is a predicted model, not a curated record. Lineage: Eukaryota; Metazoa; Chordata; Lepidosauria; Squamata; Colubridae.
AUGGCCAGUCUUUGAAUGUGAUAUCUUUUAAUAUACUUCAGAAGUAAAAAAAGAAAGAAGAAAAAAAUGUCUCUUUUAAUUGGUUAAAAUUAAAAUAGCAGAAGAGUUUGCCAAGAACUACAGUAAUGUAAUGCAAGUCUUUUCAAACCCUCAAACUGGAAUUCUUUGCAUAUCUACAGGAAGAGUGGAUAGGUGACAACUUCCAGAGGAAGAAAAGAAGACGACGAUGAUGGCUCUGAUAAAUGUGGAGUUGAGGACCAUGGCAGGAUGAAGGUUUGAUCUUUGGAACCUGAGGAUUUUUCUGUUUCUCCUGGAUGUGAUUGAGUAUACAAUAUUCCUUACCACCUGGUAAACUGAAGCUACAGUAUAUGAAUAGCAGAACCACACACGUCUCUGAAAAUCUGGAGCAUCUAUUUUGAAAACAUCUUUUUGUUUCAACAUAUCACUGGGUGACCUAAUCCGUGAAAAUGACAGCGAAGCCAUUAAUAAGCAUGUUCUUUACAUAGCACCAUCCAAUUAAUCAGCAAGUACAGUGUAGUAACAAUGUGU